CGUGUAGGCGGGGAUGCAAGUCAGAUGUGAAAUUCCAUGGCUUAACUGUGGGACUGCAUCUGAAACUGUGUUUCUUGAGUGCCGGAGAGGGAAGCGGAAUUCCAAGUGUAGCGGUGAAAUGCGUAGAUAUUUGGAGGAACACCAGUGGCGAAGGCGGCUUUCUGGACGGUAACUGACGCUGAGGCGCGAAAGCGUGGGGAGCAAACAGGAUUAGAUACCCUGGUAGUCCACGCUGUAAACGAUGGAUACUAGGUGUAGGGGGUAUCGACCCCCCCUGUGCCGGAGUUAACACAAUAAGUAUCCCACCUGGGGAGUACGGCCGCAAGGUUGAA
Molecule: ribosomal RNA, 332 nt
Filed under: uncultured bacterium
Lineage: Bacteria
Description: bacterial SSU rRNA
Rfam family: Bacterial small subunit ribosomal RNA
Source: RNAcentral